This 378-nucleotide small RNA is filed under the name Arabidopsis thaliana (thale cress). RNAcentral describes it as "ATSL292000". The record is from RNAcentral. Lineage: Eukaryota; Viridiplantae; Streptophyta; Magnoliopsida; Brassicales; Brassicaceae.
AAAAAAAUCCAGACCUAAUUAUUAGUUAUCCCACAAGUCACAUGUACAAAUAACGAGUAACAGAGCAAGUAAAAGGACAAGCAUCAAAAUGAUGCAAGUAACGAGGCAAGUAACGGGAUAAGUAUCAAAACGAGGUAAGUAACGAGUCAAGUAUCAAAAAAAAUUAUGAUACUUGAUACUUGGCUUGCUCUUGCAAGUAAUAAAAUAAACCGACUUGUUACUUGACUUGCCUAUGACAAGUACUUGAAUUUUCAAGACGAGUACGAACCGAGUAGCGAGUAAUUGCCGAGUAGCGAGUACUUGUGCCCAGGGCUAAGAUUGUUUGUAAUAAUGAGGAUUACUAAAUAUGGUCCUUCGAGAUGGGACAAAAUAUUUGCA